Molecule: transfer RNA, 76 nt
Filed under: Sphaerodactylus townsendi
Lineage: Eukaryota; Metazoa; Chordata; Lepidosauria; Squamata; Sphaerodactylidae
Description: tRNA-Ala
Source: RNAcentral
GCUAUGGCUUAGUGGCAGAGCAUCUGUUUUGCAUACAGAAGAUCCCAGGUUCAAUUCAAGAUCUUUGCUUGAGGCC